UGGGAGAAACAAAUAAUCACCAACUGCACCAAGCUGUGAACCCUGUGAAUUACAAUAUUGUCUGGCCUGGCAAGAUGUGCCCACUGGUACAACGGUGGCGUGAUAUCAUGGGAGUAACCAGCCACUUUCUGAUUGGAUUUAAGGCAAGCCAACAAAACCCUUGGGGCAUGAAGACCCUUAGCAUCUCCCAGUAGUACCAAGGCAGCGCCCACUGAAAGGACCACCAGGAAGUAGCAUCCUCUCCCAGCACUAAGCAGGAGGCUCAACCUAUCACCCAGCUACCAAGGUAGCCACAGCGAUCCCUGAGCCUCGGGAGCAGAAGGGUGUGAGAAUGACGCACUGCAGAGAUGGCUCACUGAUACUGUGCUUAUCACGCAAGCAUGAGGACCUAAGUUUGGAUCCCCAGACCCCCAAAUCUGAGCUGAGGUCGGGGGAGACAGGCCGGUCACUGGAGCUCAGUAGUCAGCUAAGUACACACAUGCGUAUGCACCUGUUAAGAAAACUGAGAAAGUCUGGAGACAUGGCUCAGUAGUUUAGAACACUAACUGCUCUUCAGGGGACCCAGAUUCUGUGCCCAGCAUCAACAUCAUAACCUUCUGUAACAUCAGUCCCGGGUAAGCAGAUGCCCUGUUCUGGCCUCUGCUGCCAUUGCAUGCACAUGGCACACAUAUAUACAUUCAGGCAAAACAUCCAUAUACAUAAAAUAAUAAAUUUUUUUAAAAACUGACUAAUUCUCUUUAGCAACACAGCAGUAUAUCUUUUUUAAAUGAUUUUUAUUUUGUGUGUUUUUCCUGAAAGUGUGUCUGUGUAUCAUGUGCGUGCAAUGCCCACAAAGACCACAUAUGUAUGUGUGUAUGUGUGUAUGUGUGUAUAUACAUAUAUAAUACAAUACUUUUUGCUAUUUCAUUGUAAAUUCAAAACAGGAUUUAUUCUUGAACAUCCCUUCACUGGUUUUCUGUUGUUUUUCUUUUGUUCUAGGUAGAGUAUAAUAGCAACUGAUGAAGGAAUGCAGUUUGAAUAUUAGUUAAUAUUUCUGCUUGUGUUGACGAGUAAAACAGAGGCGAAACAUAAACCCUGUAGGCCAGAAAGAUGUUUGUCUAUGACUUGUCAAACUGAAUGUUGAUUUUCUAACAUUGGAAGGAUGUUUCCUCAUCUUUUGAACUAUUCACAAUAUAUAACUUUGGUUCUGAUAUAAUUUAUGCUUUUAUAGCUUUGUAUUUAACAAUAGCUGGGUUAGGAUUAAGGAGCUUAUGAUGCUGGUGGAGUUGGGAUGGAAUAAAGUGGGGUAGGUUUAAAUUCAGGAUACCACAAGAUGUCUUUGGACUACAUAGAGACAACUCCUUACACUGUUUUAAGUUAUUAAAGUUAUUGACGAGGAUCGACAGCUUAAUGAGGAAAAGGAGUUGCAGAAAGCAUAUGUCUAUGUGCUCAGAGAGGGAAAAAAAGCAGCGGGCACCGGGAGCUAAGUGUUGUUCAAAGCUGAAAGGAGCAAACGUUCUCCCGUAAACGAUGGAGGUGAGAGCUAAGCGGACUGAACACACUAUUUCUUGCCAGGAGGCCGUCUAAACUAGAAACAGAAACUAGAAUCGAACUGUGUACAUUUAACUUGGUAGAUAAAGAACAGUGAGUAUUAGGAGAAGCAGUAAAUAUCUAUAAACAUACAUGCAAGUUUUCCUAUUAUACAGAAAAGGGCACCAAUAACUAGCAGUUAUUGAGAAAUAACUGAGAAAUGCCUCAAUAUUACAAUAAAACGCCUAGCUAGAUAAGCCAUGAAACCACAAGAUAAAAGCAAGGUAAUAGAGAAUACUACAGAGGAAAAACCUGAAAAUAACUCAGCUUUUUCUCAAAGCUUUUCCUCAUACAAAUGAACACUAAACAAAAAAUUAUAUCAAUGCU
Long non-coding RNA from Peromyscus californicus insignis, 1896 nucleotides. RefSeq lists it as uncharacterized. The transcript is spliced from 3 exons. NCBI's taxonomy places the organism in Eukaryota, Metazoa, Chordata, Mammalia, Rodentia, Cricetidae. The record is from RefSeq and is a predicted model, not a curated record.